RNAcentral lists this non-coding RNA (19 nucleotides) under Arabidopsis thaliana (thale cress). Lineage: Eukaryota; Viridiplantae; Streptophyta; Magnoliopsida; Brassicales; Brassicaceae. The record is from RNAcentral.
CACCGGCAAAUGGCAAGUG